GAAGCGGCAACAGCUCAAAUUUGAAAUCUGGCGCAAGCCCGAGUUGUAAUUUGUAGAGGAUGCUUCAGGGCAGCGGCCGGUCUAAGUUCCUUGGAACAGGACGUCAUAGAGGGUGAGAAUCCCGUAUGCGACCGGUUGGCACCCGUCACGUAGCUCCUUCGACGAGUCGAGUUGUUUGGGAAUGCAGCUCUAAAUGGGAGGUAAAUUUCUUCUAAAGCUAAAUACCGGCCAGAGACCGAUAGCGCACAAGUAGAGUGAUCGAAAGAUGAAAAGCACUUUGGAAAGAGAGUUAAAAAGCACGUGAAAUUGUUGAAAGGGAAGCGCAUGCAACCAGACUUGUCGGCGGUGUUCCGCCGGUCUUCUGACCGGUCCAUUCGCCGCCGGCAGGCCAGCAUCAUCUGGGCGCGCCGGACAAAGGCGUGGGGAAUGUAGCUCCUCGGAGUGUUAUAGCCCCGCGCACAAUACGGCGCCGCCCGGGUGAGGUCCGCGCUUCGGCUAGGAUGCUGGCGUAAUGGUUGUCUGCGGCCCGUCUUGAAACACGGACCAAGGAGUCUAACAUCUAUGCGAGUGUUCGGGUGUCAAACCCCUACGCGUAAUGAAAGUGAACGGAGGUGGGAAGCGCAAGCUGCACCAUCGACCGAUCCUGAUGUCUUCGGAUGGAUUUGAGUAAGAGCAUAGCUGUUGGGACCCGAAAGAUGGUGAACUAUGCCUGAAUAGGGUGAAGCCAGAGGAAACUCUGGUGGA
This 744-nucleotide ribosomal RNA is filed under the name Teratosphaeria mareebensis. RNAcentral describes it as "eukaryotic LSU rRNA". It matches the Rfam family "Eukaryotic large subunit ribosomal RNA", at positions 95 to 871 of the family's 3401-position model. The record is from RNAcentral. Lineage: Eukaryota; Fungi; Ascomycota; Dothideomycetes; Mycosphaerellales; Teratosphaeriaceae.